UAACACAUGAUUGUUUUUAAAAUUUUUAUCUGUUUAAAAACUUGCUUUGUUUUUAUUCUCAUUACUUUCUGUUUUCUGAAUUUAGCUUAAGGAAAACACAGAGCAAUCUUUUCAAAUUUAUUUUUUCCUUUGUAUACAUUUAAAAGGGAGUUUUAAAAGGUCUGGAUAGCUUGGUCAUAAAGAGGAGAUAUUCCCAUUACAAUCCAAACACAAGCUGUUGUCCACAUGGCAUGGAAUACUUAGAGAACUCAAUAAUUUUCUUUCUCUUUACAUUUCUACUACUUAAACAAAAUAAUAGAAACUGAUUUAUUUCUUCCUUUAUCUGGUGAUGGAAACCACUCUAUGGAAAACCUGGGAAUGGUCAGCACUAUGUUUUCCACUAUGUGGAAGUAACGGGAAAUGAAACUGAUUUAUAUGGAGAAGAAGAGACAAGAGAUGGAGAAGAUUACUGGUGAUUUUAGGGUUCCCGAAGACCAUCUACAUGUGUCCUAUUCCUGUUGCUUGACUUGAAAUUUUUCUGAUUCCAGGAAACAAAAAUUCUCCUUUUUGGCAAAGCUAUUAUUUUGGGUGGGAUUCUGUAAGGUGCAAGUGGCAAAAAUGUAGCUACAAUUAGCUUAAGUAAAAAGAGGGAAUUAAGGAGAGAUCCUUAGGUAACUCACAGAAUUAAAUGAAUAGUUGAUCAACUGAGCUUUAGCAAGGCAGAAGCAGGCACUUUAGAAGGGACUCAGAACCUAGGGCCAAGACUUAGGUGCUGCUGCAGCACACUUCCCUCAUGUGGCCUUUGCUACUUUUCUUUCUGGACACUGUGCCCUCUACAGAGGAAUACUUUGAUUACCUUAUGUGAUUCCACCAGUACUUUCUUUUAUUUACCCUGUAACCCUCAUCUACUCAUUGGCAUUUUUAUGUGCAUUGCCACAGAAGGAGAUGUUACAGCACACUGUGUUUUGAAUCUCAAAAGCACAGACUAGGAUUGAAUUCAGGCUCUCAAGAUUAAGAGAGCUAUCCCACGUUAGCAGGAAAAGGAAGGCCAAAAGGGGAAAAAAGACAGCUGAGUUGGUACUGUGUCCGGAAUUGGUGGAUUCUUGGUCUCGCUGACUUCAAGAAUGAAGCUGCAGUUCUUAAAGUAUGGUGUGUCCAGUGUUUGUUCCUUCAGAUGUUCAGAUGUGUCUGGAGUUGCUUCCUUCUGGUGGGUUCGUGGUCUCACUGACUUCAGGAGUGAAGCUGCAGACCUUCACGGUGAGUGUUACAGUUCUUAAAGGUGGCACGUCUGGAGUUGUUCGUUCCUUCUGGUGGGUUCAUGGUCUCGCUGGCCUCAGGAGUGAAGCUGCAGACCUUCGCGGUGAGUGUUACAGUUCAUAAAGGUGGCACAUAUGGGGUUGUUUGUCCCUCCCAGUGGGUUCGUGGUCUUGCUGGCUUCAGGAGUGAAGCUGCACACCUUUGCACUGAGUGUUACAGCUCAUAAAGGCAGCGCAGACCCAGAGAGUGAGCAGCAACAAGAUUUACUGUGACAAGCAAACGAACAAUGCGUGGAAGGGGACCCCAGCGGGUUGCUGCUGACGGCUUGGGUGGCCUGCUUUUAUUCCCUUAUUUGGCCCCACCCACAUCCUGCUGAUUGGUGCAUUUUGACAGAGUGCUGAUUGGUGCAUUUACAAAUCUUUGGCUAGACACAGAGUACUGAUUGGUGCAUUUACAAUCCUUUAGCUAGAUACAGAAGUUCUUCAAGUCCCCUACCUGAUUAGCUAAACACAGAGUGUUGACUGGUGUGUUUACAAACCUUUAGCUAGACACAGAGCACUGAUUGGUGCAUUUACAAUCCUUUAGCUAGACAGAAAAGUUAUCCAAGUCCCCACCCAACCCAGAAGCCCAGCCAGCUUCACCUCUCAGUACCACUGGGAAAGGGGCCCUGCACCUAGUAGAUGAUACUAUCACUAGGCAACACAGCAGGCAUUUGUGUUUAUUGUUUUAAAUUGAAUUUGCUUUAUAAUGUCAAGUACAGCCAAUCUAUAAUUGAAACAAAAACUUGGAAGUACUCUGUGAAAUUCAUAUCCGAGAACUGAACCCUCUGGGGGAGGAGCAAUAGACACUCCCACCGCACCCAACCCUGGGUAACAGAGUGAGACCCUGUCUCACAAAACAUAACACAAAACAAAACACUUAUUUUAGCAUUGUUUUAGAUCUGAAGAAAAAUGGCAAAGAUAGUACAGAAAGUUCCCGAGUACUGUACACCCAGUUUCCCCUAUUAUUAACAAUCUUACAUUCUUUCUGUCACAUUUCUGACAAAUAGUAACAUCUGCUUAAAUACUUCCAGCGACGGGCAACCCAGUAUGUCCUAAAGAGUCCCAUCAUCAGAUGAUUUUGGAGCAGUGUGACUUGAGAUGUGGUUCUAGGACCAGCAGCAUCUGCACAACCUGGAAUCCAGUUAGAAAUGAAGGGUCUCAGACCCCAAUCCAGACCUGAAUCAGAAUCUACAUUCAACAGGAUCUCCAGAUUUGCCAGUUCACCCUGACCAUCUUGAAAAUAAGUUGUCUCUGAUCUCUGUCUGUAUGUUACUUCUCUCCCCUCACCAAUGGAGAACACAUGUGGGCAAAGUCAGGUGACAUACUUGGGCAGUCAUCAUAUUCCAACUCAGUGGCCACACGACUGGUGCAGGGAUGGACCUGUAACCCACAAAGAAGAGAAGAAGGCACAGACACAGAGGAGAAGGCAUGUGAAGAUGAAGGCAGAGACUGGAGUUAUGUGGUCACAAGCCAAGGAAUUCCUGAAGCCACCAGAUGCAAGGAAGGAUUUUCCCCUAGAGCCUUGGGAGCCAGUACAGACCUGCUGAAACUUUGAUUUUGGAAUUUUAGUCUCCAGAGCAAUAAGAGAAUACAUCUCUGUCUGAGCGUCAAGUCUGUCGUAAUUUGUUACAGCAGACCUAGGAAACUAAUGUGUUAGUUAGUACUGAUUAUUUAAUUAAAGACUCUUUUUAUAUUGUUUUGUUUUCUAAAUAAUCUGGAGAAACCUACCUCAAUUCUUGUCUCCAUCCAAUAGAGACACCUGUCUGUUUGUUGAGGUUUGGUGGAAAUCCAAGGGUUAGUGUUUCUGGGUUAUUUUUUGCCUACCACAGAUAGCAGUGAAAGCCCAUUUAGUACACAAAUAUGACAUUUCUGAAU
Long non-coding RNA from Piliocolobus tephrosceles (Ugandan red Colobus), 3152 nucleotides. RefSeq lists it as uncharacterized. The record is from RefSeq and is a predicted model, not a curated record. The transcript is spliced from 4 exons. Lineage: Eukaryota; Metazoa; Chordata; Mammalia; Primates; Cercopithecidae.